GUAGGUGGCAAGCGUUGUCCGGAAUUAUUGGGCGUAAAGCGCGCGCAGGCGGUUCUUUAAGUCUGAUGUGAAAGCCCACGGCUCAACCGUGGAGGGUCAUUGGAAACUGGAGAACUUGAGUACAGAAGAGGAAAGCGGAAUUCCACGUGUAGCGGAGAAAUGCGUAGAGAUGUGGAGGAACACCAGUGGCGAAGGCGGCUUUCUGGUCUGUAACUGACGCUGAGGCGCGAAAGCGUGGGGAGCAAACAGGAUUAGAUACCCUGGUAGUCCACGCCGUGAACGAUGAGUGCUAAGUGUUAGGGGGUUUCCGCCCCUUAGUGCUGCAGCUAACGCAUUAAGCACUCCGCCUGGGAGUACGGCCGCAAGGCUG
RNAcentral lists this ribosomal RNA (370 nucleotides) under uncultured organism. RNAcentral describes it as "partial 16S ribosomal RNA". It matches the Rfam family "Bacterial small subunit ribosomal RNA", at positions 527 to 896 of the family's 1533-position model. The record is from RNAcentral.